CAGAGACACACCAUCGUGUUCUGCCUGAAUAAAUGCAAGAGGGACUCAAAUACCACUUUGGACAGCAAGUCCAUUUAAAUCUAAGUGUUUUCCUAUCGAUCCUCCAUUUUUUCCUGGAAAAUGCACAUGCUGUUUUGCUGUGGAAGAGUCCUCUGUGUCUGAGAGCUUGGAAGGGGGUGUUAAUUUAGGUUUUCCUCCUCACUCAGUGGGAUUCAAAGGACAUCCAACUUGUUUUGCCAUGCCAGCCUGUCGUUUUAUUCCACCUGGCCUCUUGUGCAAAUAAAAUCACCCCAUGGGUUUGCAAGGUCUGCUCACAAGAGUGUUAUAGCUAAUUACUCAAAGGAGCCAUGGUGAUGCUAAGCAGAGCAUGCCCAGAACUGCUUCUCACCUGACAUCCAAAGAACAAGCAUGCAUUACAAGCCCUGAUCCUUGAGGUCACCUCCUCCUGAAGCAAGGUGGGUUUUCCUCAGUACAUCCAACGCAGUCCUUGCCUGGUGUGACCUCCAGACCCAACACACCACCGGCCUCACAGGCUGCACAGGGCCAGGGGUCGUGUCAGUGCUUCUGACACUGCAGCGUCCAUUAGAAAGAUGCAUUAGGCUUUAAUGUAAACAAACAGGCUGUGGUACAAGGAGCUGUAUUUCAAUUACUUAAGCCCUAAUGCCAAACUUGCUCUGUUUCAGAAGCAAGGAUAAUACAGCACUGACAAAGUAUAUUAUCCUUGCUUUUCAGUAGCCACAGAUAAGUAUCACUAUGUCACUGUGAAAAAAUGCGCUCAAUUAUCCUAUGUUGUUAUUACUUAAUCUGUGUUUCAAAAAAAGCUUUAGACUGAAAAGAUGUUAGAUAAAGGCUAAGUAUUGCAGAUAAAGGCAUUGCUUCACUGAAUAUAUGCUGUAAAAGCAUGAGCUGUGGUUCCACACAUUUAAAUGAACCAGGCUCCUCUCAGCACGUUCCACUACUGGCAGAGUCACAGGCAGGACUGGCUGCUUGCACAAGAAGGUGGUUUUGGAGCCCUAAGAGCAAAAUGCAGAGGUAGGCUGGCGAAGGAGCCUGGUCCAUGUCAGGGAGAACCUUUUCAAAGACUUCCAAAAGGCUUGGUAUGAAUCUCCUCCCCAACUCAUGGAGACCGGGUCCCUGCUGGCACCACACUUACAAUGGCACAGCAGAAGGGGAUGGCCCAGCCUGAGGCUUUCUCAAAUGAACAAAGGAGCUUUAUCCAGAAGACCCUGGCCACCAAAUUCUCAUUCUCUACACUGUCACCAGCAAGAAGUAGCAGGGCUCUGGAUACCCAUGUUUGGAUUCCAGCUGCAGCCCCCUGCCAGUGCUGUGUACUUUAAUGGUCCUAGAAAAUGAGUCCAGCACACUGAAUUGAUGACAAAUUGAUUGAAACCAGAUGUCGUGAAAAAAGCCUUUUCCAAGUUCAACGGCACAUGAAUGGUCUCAGCCUGCCCCUGGAUAAUCCGACUUCUGUGCCCCAGUCUGCCACAAUAAACUAACUGGGAGGUUAAUAUUUUGUCUCUGCGCUGUGAACUCCUUGGGGAAAGGAGCUUUUUAAUUGCAUACACAGCCCAUGACCUGGUAGGCUCUAAAUCUCACUGGGUGAUGGGCAGAGUCAUAGUGGGACCUCAGCUGAACACCCUGAGCUCAUGUUACUGUCUGGAUUAGCAAAACUCCAGACUGUUACAUCGCCUGUAGUCUUCAGGCAUUGCUGGGAGUUUGGUUUCCCCACUGAGCUCAGCUCUUUUUUGGCAUCGUCAAAGGAAGACAAACAAAACACUGCAGGUACAAAGGCACAGGAGGAAAAGCAGCAUCAAGCUGUUGUUUGGCCAAGCCAGCAGAUGCAUGGUGGCAAUAUUGGCUUUGUAGGAGAGCAGAGGUGGCCAGAGCCUGCACGCCCAGGUCUCACCGCUUUGCAGACCUCAUCACAACAGAUAUAUUUACACUGGAUACGCCUAAUUAACACACCCUGCCAGACCCAAGCUUGCUCUCUUCAGCCUGCACAUGCAGAGCAAGACCACGGUUUGGUCAGCUUGUGCUCCCCAAGGCAGAUAAAAAUGACCUCAAAAGCCAAGCUUGAUUCAUGGACUGCCAUCAGAGGGUCCCUGGGAGGAUGAAUGAUUGAUCCUGUUUACCUUUGGCACAGCAAGGCAUUUAACAUCAAGUUGGGAGAAGCUUUGUAGUUGUUAUUCUAAUGGGCUUCAAGACAGAACUAUUUGUUUUGGAGCAUGAUAAGACUUUUCAGACCACUGGCUCCCCGGGCAAGGCUCUGAAAGUCUAUCACAGCACGUGUGAAGCCACAGCACCGAACAUGCUCUGCAGAGCAUUACCCAGGAAACCUGCCCCUGUUAUAUUUCCUUGUCAAAAUUACAAAAAGCCCAACAAAUCCUACAGUGCUCAGCCCACAUCUCUUCCAAAAGCUGGGGGAAGAAGCCUGCAGAGGAAAGGUUGAGAGCAGACUCUCCUGGUGACUAAUGCAGCUGAGAUAAGCAUCUAGAUGCUCGCUAAAACAUACAGUAUCACACGCAAUUAAAGGCUCCUUCUGAGAUUUUGCAAGCAGCCAGUAACUCCUACCCAGCCAUCUGCCCAGAGAGGGCCUCUGACUUGUCAACCAAUCCAUUUCCCCCAGUGCCACAGGCUGGGUGAUACCGAUCUCUGCUGUGUUUUCUUACCAGAGCUUUGAUGUACAGUCUCCUCGCAGGGGCAGCCCCCUUUGGGGAACAAAGCUCUGCUCUAGCCGGGCUCCUCACCAGUUGUCCAGGUAUUAAGUUCUUUUUUCCAGCUUCGGGGCACCCUAUCACUAACCUUUUCCACUGACCUUUUGCAGGGAACCUUCUGCUCGUGGCCAUCUGCGUCCUUUUCUUUUCAAGCAUUCACCUGAGCAUUUGCAGCAAGCAAUUACAUACACACACACUGGUUUGCAUCAGUCACAAAAGCUGUGAGCCUCCAAUUAACCACCUCAUGCCUUUUAAUGAUACAACGCUGAACAAGGAAGAGAAUUAGAGGGAACAUCCUCAGAAGUGGUUUGCAGCAGGACAGAGCCGUCCUUAUUAUUGUUUGUAUGAGGGUAGCACCUAGGAAACUCAGCUAGAGGCUGUGAAAACAAUUGGAGAACUUGGGGAAUUAAUUGAAUAUGGAGAAUUUAUAGUCUACAGGACAAGACAAUGUAGGUGGGUGAGGUGUCGUGCAAUGAGAACACAAGGAUUUUCUAAGGAUCAGAAUAACCUGUCAGCAUCCUUUACUCAUCAGUGCCAAGUUCCUGUGUCCUCCCACCUUGACACCACUUCAAGAAUGCUGGCAGAGGGCUCAGAAGCAAAGGCAAGUGUGCCUUUGACUCCCAAAGCCCCAACUGGAAGCACAGGGCAAUGCCUUGUCUCUGUCUUCAAGAGAUAUCUAGAGAUACUGCACCUGCUCAGAAGGUUUCAGGCAAAACAGCAUUUCAGAGGAAUUCACCAAUUCAGCAAAAUCUCAGCAAGGUGAGUCAAUUUUGCCCAGGUUCCCAUGAAACUUGCACAGGGCUCCAAACAUCAGAAACCUGCUGAGUUUCCUGCCUGGUCACCCAUCUGGUUCCUCCACCGUUCAGCUUUCCAGGGCCCUGGGGCAGCCUGCUGCCAAAUAGGCUGCUUAGCAAGAGGGGAUUUCACUGCUCCCACACUUCUCAGUUUGAGCUGUCUCAGACAUUAGACCAUCUCAGGCAGGAAAUAUCAGAGCAUCCACAGAUGGAAAACCCAUGAAACCCAGUGGAGAGGCUGAGAGAUCAGUGGAUCAGCUCUUGAGACAACCCACAGUGCAAGCUGCUGCACUAUUCCCUUCUGCAGGAUUUGUACCUGGUUGUGUUCUGCUCUACUUUACUAAUUUCAUCAAAAUUAAACUUUUAUCCAAACUAUAAUCUCCUAUUUAAGCCCCUUCCUAGCAGACACCCUCUCAGAACAGCUAAUUUUCCUCUCAACAGCAGCCUCUGCACAUCAGUCCAGUUCCAGCUGCUCUCAGGUCGGGGCAGAGAGUUGUACAUCCUGUACGGCCCACCAGGAACAUUGCAGGGAUAUACAAAUCAGCCAAAUCUAAAUUAUCUGCUCUGGAAGACAGAUGAUAUGAACAAUCUUACAGUCCCAUGAGCUCACUGUGGGAGGAGAAUGAGGUAAAAUCUCUGUAUUUAUCCAUCUAAUGGAAAUAUUUGAUCUGCCUGAGGACUGCACACCUGAUAUUGUAACUACAGUGUC
This 4217-nucleotide long non-coding RNA is filed under the name Taeniopygia guttata (zebra finch). RNAcentral's name for it is "lncRNA (ENSTGUG00000027936.1)". The record is from RNAcentral. Lineage: Eukaryota; Metazoa; Chordata; Aves; Passeriformes; Estrildidae.